UAACCCUUCCCUCUGACCCCAACCCUUCCCUCUGACCCUAAGCCUUCCCUCUGACCCUAACCCUUCCCUCUGACCCUAAGCCUUCCCUCUGACCCUAACCCUUCCCUCUGACCCUAACCCUUCCCUCUGACCCUAACCCUUCCCUCUGACCCCAACCCUUCCCUCUGACCCUAACCCUUCCCUCUGACCCUAACCCUUCCCUCUGACCCCAACCCUUCCCUCUGACCCUAACCCUUCCCUCUGACCCCAACCCUUCAUUCUGUUACGCUUUGUGUUUCUGUGUUGUCUUUUGGUUUUACAACAAAAGGUCAAACGGUAGCUACUUCCCUGUAUAAACAACAUGCUGACCAGAUGAUUAUUUGAUAAUGAUUCGCUGAUUCAUGUGUUUUUGUGUUGUCUAUGUUCUGUCACCUCUCUCACCAGGCCACGUCAGGUGGAAUGGUGUUAGAGGCUUUAGAGACUUUCAGAAAGAUCUCUCACCUCCUCUGGUCUCCUCUGGUCUCCUCUGUAGUUGACUGGUCUCCUCUGUAGUUGACUGGUCUCCUCUGGUCUCCUCUGUAGUUGACUGGUCUCCUCUGUAGUUGACUGGUCUCCUCUGGUCUCCUCUGUAGUUGACUGGUCUCCUCUGUAGUUGACUGGUCUCCUCUGGUCUCCUCUGUUGUUGACUGGUCUCCUCUGGUCUCCUCUGUAGUUGACUGGUCUCCUCUGGUCUCCUCUGUAGUUGACUGGUCUCCUCUGUAGUUGACUGGUCUGCUCUGUAGUUGACUGGUCUGCUCUGUAGUUGACUGGUCUCCUCUGGUCUCCUCUGUAGUUGACUGGUCUCCUCUGUAGUUGACUGGUCUGCUCUGUAGUUGACUGGUCUCCUCUGUAGUUGAUUGGUCUCCUCUGUAGUUGAUUGGUCUCCUCUGGUCUCCUCUGUAGUUGACUGGUCUCCUCUGGUCUCCUCUGUAGUUGACUGGUCUCCUCUGUAGUUGACUGGUCUGCUCUGUAGUUGAUUGGUCUCCUCUGUAGUUGAUUGGUCUCCUCUGUAGUUGAUUGGUCUCCUCUGUAGUUGACUGGUCUCCUCUGGUCUCCUCUGUAGUUGACUGGUCUCCUCUGUAGUUGACUGGUCUGCUCUGUAGUUGAUUGGUCUCCUCUGUAGUUGAUUGGUCUCCUCUGUAGUUGACUGGUCUCCUCUGGUCUCUGUAGUUGACUGGUAUCCUCUGGUCUCUGUAGAUGACUGGUCUCCUCUGGUCUCUGUAGAUGACUGGUCUCCUCUGGUCUCCUCUGUAGUUGACUGGUCUGCUCUGUAGUUGAUUGGUCUCCUCUGUAGUUGAUUGGUCUCCUCUGUAGUUGAUUGGUCUCCUCUGUAGUUGACUGGUCUCCUCUGGUCUCCUCUGUAGUUGACUGGUCUCCUCUGUAGUUGACUGGUCUGCUCUGUAGUUGACUGGUCUCCUCUGUAGUUGAUUGGUCUCCUCUGUAGUUUACUGGUCUCCUCUGGUCUCUGUAGUUGACUGGUAUCCUCUGGUCUCUGUAGAUGACUGGUCUCCUCUGGUCUCUGUAGAUGACUGGUCUCCUCUGGUCUCCUCUGUAGUUUGCUGGUCUCCUCUGGUCUCUGUAGUUGACUGGUCUCCUCUGGUCUCUUCUGUAGUUGACUGGUCUCCUCUGUAGUUGAAUGGUCCCCUCUGGUAUCCUCUGUAGUUGACUGGUCUCCUCUGUAGUUGACUGGUCUCCUCUGUAGUUGAUUGGUCUCCUCUGUAGUUUACUGGUCUCCUCUGGUCUCUGUAGUUGACUGGUCUCCUCUGGUCUCUGUAGUUGACUGGUCUCCUCUGUAGUUGACUGGUCUCCUCUGUAGUUGACUGGUAUCCUCUGGUCUCUGUAGUUGACUGGUCUCCUCUGGUCUCCUCUGUAGUUGACUGGUCUCCUCUGGUCUCCUCUGUAGUUUGCUGGUCUCCUCUGGUCUCUGUAGUUGACUGGUCUCCUCUGGUCUCCUCUGUAGUUGACUGGUCUCCUCUGGUUUCCUCUGUAGUUUGCUAGUCUCCUCUGGUCUCUGUAGUUGACUGGUCUCCUCUGUAGUUGACUGGUCUCCUCUGUAGUUGACUGGUAUCCUCUGGUCUCUGUAGUUGACCGGUCUCCUCUGUAGUUGACUGGUCUCCUCUGUAGUUGACUGGUCUCCUCUGGUCUCUGUAGAUCACUGGUCUCCUCUGUAGUUGACUGGUCUCCUCUGUAGUUGACUGGUCUCCUCUGGUCUCUGUAGAUCACUGGUCUCCUCUGUAGUUGACUGGUCUCCUCUGUAGUUGACUGGUCUCCUCUGUAGUUGACUGGUCUCCUCUGUAGUUGACUGGUCUCCUCUGUAGUUGAUUGGUCUCCUCUGUAGUUUACUGGUCUCCUCUGGUCUCUGUAGUUGACUGGUAUCCUCUGGUCUCUGUAGAUGACUGGUCUCCUCUGGUCUCCUCUGUAGAUGACUGGUCUCCUCUGGUCUCCUCUGUAGUUUGCUGGUCUCCUCUGGUCUCUGUAGUUGACUGGUCUCCUCUGGUCUCUUCUGUAGUUGACCGGUCUCCUCUGUAGUUGACUGGUCUCCUCUGUAGUUGACUGGUCUCCUCUGUAGUUGACUGGUCUCCUCUGGUCUCCUCUGUAGUUGACUGGUCUCCUCUGUAGUUGACGGGUCUCCUCUGUAGUUGACUGGUCUCCUCUGUAGUUGACUGGUCUCCUCUGUAGUUGACUGGUCUCCUCUGUAGUUGACUGGUCUCCUCUGGUCUCCUCUGUAGUUGACUGGUCUCCUCUGGUCUCUUCUGUAGUUGACUGGUCUCCUCUGUAGUUGACUGGUCUCCUCUGUAGUUGACUGGUCUCCUCUGGUCUCCUCUGUAGUUGACGGGUCUCCUCUGUAGUUGACUGGUCUCCUCUGUAGUUGACUGGUCUCCUCUGUAGUUGAUUGGUCUCCUCUGUAGUUUACUGGUCUCCUCUGGUCUCUGUAGUUGACUGGUAUCCUCUGGUCUCUGUAGUUGACUGGUCUCCUCUGGUCUCCUCUGUAGUUGACUGGUCUCCUCUGGUCUCCUCUGUAGUUUGCUGGUCUCCUCUGGUCUCUGUAGUUGACUGGUCUCCUCUGGUCUCCUCUGUAGUUGACUGGUCUCCUCUGGUCUCCUCUGUAGUUUGCUGGUCUCCUCUGGUCUCUGUAGUUGACUGGUCUCCUCUGUAGUUGACUGGUCUCCUCUGUAGUUGACUGAUCUCCUCUGGUCUCCUCUGUAUUUUACUGGUCUCCUCUGUAGUUGACUGGUCUCCUCUGGUCUCUUCUGUAGUUGACUUGUCUCCUCUGUAGUUGACUGGUCUCCUCUGGUCUCCUCUAUAUUUGACUGGUCUCCUCUGAUCUCCACUGUAGUUGACUGGUCUCCUCUGGUCUCUGUAGUUGACUGGUCUCCUCUGGUGUCCUCUGUAGUUGACUGGUCUCCUCUGUAGUUUACUGGUCUCCUCUGUAGUUGACUGGUCUCCUCUGGUCUCUGUAGUUGACUGGUCUCCUCUGUAGUUGACUGGUCUCCUCUGUAGUUGACUGGUCUCCUCUGGUCUCCUCUGUAGUUGACUGGUCUCCUCUGGUCUCCUCUGUAGUUGAGUGGUCUCCUCUGGUCUCCUCUGUAGUUGACUGGUCUUCUCUGGUCUCCUCUGUAGUUGACUGGUCUCCUCUGUAGUUGACUGGUCUCCUCUGGUCUCCUCUGUAGUUGACUGGUCUCCUCUGGUCUCCUCUGUAGUCGAGGGUCUCCUCUGGUCUCCUCUGUAGUUGACUGGUCUCCUCUGGUCUCCUCUGUAGUUGACUGGUCUCCUCUGGUCUCUGUAGUUGACUGGUCUCCUCUGUAGUUGACUGGUCUCCUCUGGUCUCCUCUGGUCUCUGUAGUUGACUGGUCUCCUCUGGUCUCCUCUGUAGUUCACUGGUCUCCUCUGGUCUCUGUAGUUGACUGGUCUCCUCUGUAGUUGACUGGUCUCCUCUGUAGUUGACUGGUCGCCUCUGUAGUUGAUUGGUCUCCUCUGCUCUCUGUAGUUGACUGGUCUCCUCUGGUCUCUGUAGUUCACUGGUCUCCUCUGGUCUCUGUAGUUGGCUGGUCUCCUCUGUAGUUGACUGGUCUCCUCUGGUCUCUGUAGUUGACUGGUCUCCUCUGUAGUUGACUGGUCUCCUCUGUAGUUGACUGGUCUCCUCUGGUCUCCUCUGUAGUUGAGUGGUCUCCUCUGGUCUCCUCUGUAGUUGACUGGUCUUCUCUGGUCUCCUCUGUAGUUGACUGGUCUCCUCUGGUCUCCUCUGUAGUUGACUGGUCUUCUCUGGUCUCCUCUGUAGUUGACUGGUCUCCUCUGUAGUUGACUGGUCUCCUCUGGUCUCCUCUGUAGUUGACUGGUCUCCCCUGGUCUCCUCUGUAGUUGAGUGGUCUCCUCUGGUCUCCUCUGUAGUUGACUGGUCUCCUCUGGUCUCCUCUGUAGUUGACUGGUCUCCUCUGGUCUCUGUAGUUGACUGGUCUCCUCUGUAGUUGACUGGUCUCCUCUGGUCUCCUCUGGUCUCUGUAGUUGACUGGUCUCCUCUGGUCUCCUCUGUAGUUCACUGGUCUCCUCUGGUCUCUGUAGUUGACUGGUCUCCUCUGUAGUUGACUGGUCUCCUCUGGUCUCCUCUGUAGUUGACUGGUCUCCUCUGUAGUUAACUGGUCUCCUCUGUAGUUGACUGGUCUCCUCUGGUCUCCUCUGUAGUUGACAGGUCUCCUCUGUAGUUGACUGGUCUUCUCUGGUCUCCUCUAUAGUUGACUGGUCUCUUCUGGUCUCUGUAGUUCACUGGUCUCCUCUGGUCUCUGUAGUUGGCUGGUCUCCUCUGUAGUUGACUGGUCUCCUCUGCUCUCUGUAGUUGACUGGUCUCCUCUGGUCUCUGUAGUUCACUGGUCUCCUCUGGUCUCUGUAGUUGGCUGGUCUCCUCUGUAGUUGACUGGUCUCCUCUGGUCUCUGUAGUUGACUGGUCUCCUCUGGUCUCCUCUGUAGUUGAC
Long non-coding RNA from Oncorhynchus tshawytscha (Chinook salmon), 4985 nucleotides. Lineage: Eukaryota; Metazoa; Chordata; Actinopteri; Salmoniformes; Salmonidae. The record is from Ensembl.